Molecule: long non-coding RNA, 1314 nt
Organism: Triticum aestivum (bread wheat)
Lineage: Eukaryota; Viridiplantae; Streptophyta; Magnoliopsida; Poales; Poaceae
Exons: 2
Source: RefSeq, a predicted model, not a curated record
GCCUCCUGACCACCAGCAUCUCCCAGAUCCCGAUCCACCCACCCACAACUCCCAUUGCCGCCGGUGUCCCGCUUCCAGGCAUCGUCGCCGGCCUCCUCCUACCACGCGCCGCCGCCGGCCUCCCGCUUCCACGCGUCGUCACCGGGCUCCUCCUUCCAUGCGUCGUUGCCAGACUCCUCCUUCCACGCGCCGCCGCCAGCCUCCCACUUCCACGCGCCGCCGUCGCCUCCCUCUUCCACCCGCCAUCGCAGGCUCCUCGCCUUCCACCCGCCCUCGUGGCAUACUUGCUUCCACCAGCCGCCGUCGGAGCCACCCCAGCACCUCCACCGCCGCCAUGCGCGACGCGUCUCCUCCCAAGGACGCGGUCGCCCCCCCCCCCCCCCCCCACGCCUCCUGCCGGCGACGGGCCCACUCCUCCCGGCGUUGCGCCCCGCCGCCUCAACAUGCAUGCCGUUCACCUCCGCCACCCCAGACCGUUCACCUCUGCCACCACUGCCCGUUCAACGCGGCCUCGACAACCCGGCGCAUCAACACCCUCUGUCAACUCCAAUGCGACUUUGUUUAUCUCAACUUCAAAACAUGUUCAGUUCAGAACUUGACAUGGAGGGUGUACUGAUGAUACCCAGCCGAAUGAAGCUCUAAGCUAUCUCCUCAGUUCUCAGGUUAGAAAACGAUUAGUUCCAUGUGUAUUUAACAGCAUGUCCAUGUAUAUUUAACACCAAGUCCAUGUAUUACUACAUGAGAAGUACUGCUAGUGAGACUUCACUACUCCAUUCCAACAAACGUGUAUAUGCAAUCCUGGUUUGACAAAGUACUCUGCUACUGCUGGUUUCAGUUCCCUCACUGGAUUUGCAGGCUCACGACCAUCCUCUAACACCCCGUCAGUGCCACCGAUUUGAAGGAGCUCCAUGACUAGUAUCUCUGAGUUCUAAUGCUCCUAACGAUCGUUUGGAAUCUUAUAUUCAAUAUCUUGCUGAUAUGGAAUAGUAGAAUGUCGCAAUAUAUACUUGUACAAUUUUUUUUAGUACUGAUGACUAGUACUUACCUUGACAGUACAACGGCAUGCUUCGCUGCCGGUUGCGAGGAUGUGCAACAUAUGUUUAAGCAAGCAUUUAUGUUGUAUUACAAACAAAAAUCUUUCCUCUGUUCCAUAGAAGAUUGUGUGACUUUUUUAAAUACAUUUUAGAAAAGAACUGUACAGACUGUAGCUUAGCAUUUGAUAAUUGUUUGCAACAUGUACAACCCGUGGACGAUUAUGUAAUUGUUUUCAUGCGUUACCAUAUGUCCAACAGUUCAGUAUGUAUUUUAUAAUCA